GAUGAACGCUCGCUACAGGCUUAACACAUGCAAGUCGAGGGGCAGCAUGGUCUUAGCUUGCUAAGGCCGAUGGCGACCGGCGCACGGGUGAGUAACACGUAUCCAACCUGCCGUCUACUCUUGGACAGCCUUCUGAAAGGAAGAUUAAUACAAGAUGGCAUCAUGAGUCCGCAUGUUCACAUGAUUAAAGGUAUUCCGGUAGACGAUGGGGAUGCGUUCCAUUAGAUAGUAGGCGGGGUAACGGCCCACCUAGUCUUCGAUGGAUAGGGGUUCUGAGAGGAAGGUCCCCCGCAUUGGAACUGGGACACGGUCCAAACUCCUACGGGAGGCAGCAGUGAGGAAUAUUGGUCAAUGGGCGAGAGCCUGAACCAGCCAAGUAGCGUGAAGGAUGACUGCCCUAUGGGUUGUAAACUUCUUUUAUAAAGGAAUAAAGUCGGGUAUGGAUACCCGUUUGCAUGUACUUUAUGAAUAAGGAUCGGCUAACUCCGU
This 489-nucleotide ribosomal RNA is filed under the name uncultured bacterium. Its description in RNAcentral is "partial 16S ribosomal RNA". It matches the Rfam family "Bacterial small subunit ribosomal RNA", at positions 28 to 506 of the family's 1533-position model. The record is from RNAcentral.